RNAcentral lists this unclassified non-coding RNA (368 nucleotides) under Hevea brasiliensis (rubber tree). Lineage: Eukaryota; Viridiplantae; Streptophyta; Magnoliopsida; Malpighiales; Euphorbiaceae. The record is from RNAcentral.
GGACUAAAUAAUCUAUUUUUCCAAAAACAAAGCACAGCAGUUUCAUUAAAAUGCAAAGAUUAAAUAGUAAUUUUUCCUAUUAAAAAAAUCAUAAUAGCCACUUAUUUAGUUGAUAAUCUUAAAAGGAAUGUUAUUCAUAUGCAUAAAGGGUUAUACUUCCAAACCUAGAUUAGAGAUAUGCAGCUAGUUGUUCCAGUUCCAAACAGAACCAAACUAGAAAAGCUGAUUUAUAGAAAUGUAAAUAUUCAAGAACUGAACUAAACCGAUGUUAGGAAUAGAACUAAGCCAAAUCGAACUUCGAUUUGAUUUUUCAAUUUCAAUAUUUUCUUUCCCUUUCCAGCAGUUUCUCUCAUUUUUCUACAUUUUCU